This 571-nucleotide ribosomal RNA is filed under the name uncultured bacterium. Its description in RNAcentral is "partial 16S ribosomal RNA". It matches the Rfam family "Bacterial small subunit ribosomal RNA", at positions 355 to 914 of the family's 1533-position model. The record is from RNAcentral.
UGGGGAAUCGUUCCGCAAUGGACGAAAGUCUGACGGAGCAACGCCGCGUGAGUGAAGAAGGUUUUCGGAUCGUAAAACUCUGUCUUUUGGGGCGAACGUGAGUAUGGUGAACAAUCAUAGUCAGUGACGGUACCAAAGGAGGAAGCCACGGCUAACUACGUGCCAGCAGCCGCGGUAAUACGUAGGUGGCAAGCGUUGUCCGGAAUUAUUGGGCGUAAAGAGCGCGUAGGCGGGAUAGUCAGUCUGUUGUAAAAGUGCGGGGCUCAACCCCGUGAUCGCAAUGGAAACAGCUAUUCUUGAGUGCAGGAGAGGAAAGUGGAAUUCCCAGUGUAGCGGUGAAAUGCGUAGAUAUUGGGAGGAACACCAGUGGCGAAGGCGACUUUCUGGACUGUGUCUGACGCUGAGGCGCGAAAGCCAGGGGAGCGAACGGGAUUAGAUACCCCGGUAGUCCUGGCCGUAAACGAUGGGUACUAGGUGUGGGAGGUAUCGACCCCCUUCCGUGCCGGAGUUAACGCAAUAAGUACCCCGCCUGGGGAGUACGGUCGCAAGACUGAAACUCAAAGGAAUUGAC